AAAAAAAAAACGUCUGGACUAAACACAACAACAAUUUCCAUUAAAAAUUUCUGUUAGCUUUUUACUGUCGUAAUUCGGUAAAGCAAUACUCGUAGAGACUUGACAUUUUCGCAUAAUAUUAGCUUUUUAUAGAAUUUUCGUAAUAUUCUAAAGUUCUCAAAGUUGUUUAUGUCCAUUUGAAAUUUUCAAGGGAUUUUAUUAAAUAUUCAACAGUUGACUUAUAUGCAUUGUAUAUAAUAAUAACCAUCAUAUUAAACAUUUACACAACUCUCAAUACCGCGUAUUUUGAUUAACACACUUCCCCCCAUGACUACUAUUCCUGAAUUGACCAA
Molecule: non-coding RNA, 332 nt
Organism: Cinara cedri
Lineage: Eukaryota; Metazoa; Arthropoda; Insecta; Hemiptera; Aphididae
Source: the annotation of a GenBank genome assembly